GUGCUCACUUCGGCAGCACAUAUACUAAAAUUGGAACAAUACAGAGAAGAUCAGCAUGGCCCCUGCGCAAGGAUGACACGCAAAUUCGUGAAGCGUUCCAUAAUUCU
Molecule: small nuclear RNA, 107 nt
Filed under: Phocoena sinus (vaquita)
Lineage: Eukaryota; Metazoa; Chordata; Mammalia; Artiodactyla; Phocoenidae
Source: RNAcentral